UCUAAAAUGGCAGACUAGUGCUUUGGAUUUAAACUCCAAAUAUAAAAUAUUAAUUUUUUUUAGAA
RNAcentral lists this transfer RNA (65 nucleotides) under Hylastes brunneus. Its description in RNAcentral is "tRNA-Leu". The record is from RNAcentral. Lineage: Eukaryota; Metazoa; Arthropoda; Insecta; Coleoptera; Curculionidae.